UGUUGCCGAGGGGAGAGUGAUGGCGGCGCCGCCCAAUGGACGUGUGGGUGGAGGGGCCGGCUCACCCGCCCGCCCUGGCGGACAGGUCAGGGGGCCCUGCCCCUGAGUCCCGCCUCGCUGCUGCAUCCCUCUCCCCCUGCCCGUGCCCUCCGCCAGCCCAGCAGUGUGCCCCCAGCGUCUGGCCUCUAGUCAUUGGCAGACCGAAGGGCUUGAACCGCGGCUGAUUUAGCCUUUGUCCCUUGGCCUGGUUCCGCCACUGCCGUCGAGACCACCAGCCCCUCCCCGAUUUUUUUUACCCUCUCCCCCAGCACUGCCACUGGCGUGGUGGGGCUAAGCCCCCUCCAUUCUGCCUGCGUUGGAGAAACGUACCCGGUACCAGAAGGAAAGAAAGGUCUGGGGCUGGUCUCCAUGGCAACUGGAAGAAAGAGGAAUAACCUUGGAAACCCUGUAUCCAAACUCUGGAAAUCCCAGCUCCUGCAAGAACCCAUCCCAGAUGGAUCCUACAAGAACUAAGAACACCUGUAGCUAGCCUUCAAAAUCCCAGGCCCCAGUAUUGCUUAUCUUUCUGCCUACACCUCACCAAUCUGGUCCUCCUUGACCUGAGGGAGCUUUCCUCCAAGCCUGUUGAGCUGUGAUAGAUCAUCCUGAAGAAUCAAGAAUCAUCACCUAAGGCUGCCAAGAUGAACCCCAAUAUCAAAAUGACACCGAAAAUAGGUGUAGGGGUUUUUUUGGGUGUGUGUGUGUGUGUGUGUGUUUUGCAGUGUACGUAAUGCCCUUACAUGUCAUUUCAUCAAGCAACACUUGGAUAAUGAGGCAAAUUAACCAGAGGCACACAGCUUAAAUGAUAGAGCCUGGAUUCCUGAGAAGUUCAGCUACCCUCUGCGUUACAGUUACCAAAAGGCACAGAUUCAGUAAAAUUCCAAUAAAUUAGUGGAAGGCUUUUUGUCAUCUUAAAUAAAUAUGUUUCUUCAUUCCCUGGUGUAAGCUUACAGUGUGUGGCUAUCGUUAAAGUUUAUCCAAAAUAACAGGUGAAGCAUAUACUAAUGACAAUUAGGCAAGAUGUUUAUAAUCCUAAAAGUAAAAAUGCAAAUAAACUGAACAAAAGAAACCAGA
Molecule: long non-coding RNA, 1113 nt
Organism: Lynx canadensis (Canada lynx)
Lineage: Eukaryota; Metazoa; Chordata; Mammalia; Carnivora; Felidae
Exons: 2
Source: RefSeq, a predicted model, not a curated record